This 5804-nucleotide long non-coding RNA is filed under the name Brassica napus (rape). RNAcentral describes it as "long non-coding RNA (BNAP_LNC004646)". The record is from RNAcentral. Lineage: Eukaryota; Viridiplantae; Streptophyta; Magnoliopsida; Brassicales; Brassicaceae.
UUUAUUCAUAAUGCAUCAAGAGUCAAAUUCACAGAAUCAUCAAACACAUUCUUAUGGCUCAAAAGCUUAAAUCUUUUUGUUUGUUUCUUUUAUCUAUUUUUCUUGCAAACUGACAAGUUCAUCUGCACCUCUUUGCAAUGUAAGAUGCAAUUUAGUUUCUUUAUUGAUAUAGCAUCAAAGAUCUCUAAUUACAUAAAACAAAGUAAAAAGAAAAUGCAACAAGACAGGUGAUCCCUUGCGGUUAGAAGGAAGUUCUGAUUGUGUGUUAGUGGAUGAGGAAGUGGAAGUGUGUACUAUUAAGAAUCUAGACAACGGGAAACAGUUUGUGGUGAACGAGAUUCAAGAAGAGGGUAGUACAUGGAAACAGGUGAAGGAAGUGGGGACCGACACGCAGAUGACAAUGGAGGAGUUUGAGAUGUCUGUGGGACACUCUCCCAUUGUUCAGGAGCUUAUGAGAAGACAGAACGUGGAGGAUUCUGAUAACAACAACAACGCAUCAACCAAAACAACAAAGGAUGAUGAAGAGAGUAAAGAUAAUAAUAAUAAUAACACAUCAAAGUCUAAGAAGAAAGGAAGCUGGUUCAAGAGCAUAAAGAGCGUUGUGACUGGUUACAGCAAAGAGAGACGAAGCAGUGACGAUAAAGACACGUCAUCGGAGAGAGGCGGUCGGAGGUCGAGCUCAGCUACGGAUGACUCUCAGGAAUCUUCUUUCCACGGGCCGGAGAGAGUUAGGGUCAGACAGUACGGGAAGUCUUCCAAAGAGCUCACGGCGAUGUACAAGACGCAGGAGAUUCAAGCGCAUAACGGCUCUAUCUGGAGCAUUAAGUUUAGUUUGGAUGGUAAGUAUCUCGCUAGCGCCGGCGAGGACUGCGUCAUUCAUGUUUGGCAAGUGGUUGAGGCUGAGAAGAGAGGAGAGUUGUUGCUGGAUAGACCGGAGCUGUUGCUUUUGGCUAAUAGUAAUGGAUCUCCGGAACCGACUACUAUGUCGCCGAGGAGAAGAGGGAGGAGUUCUGUGAGUAGAAAGUCGUUGAGUUUGGAGAACAUAUAUGUUCCAGAUUCUGUUUUUGGGCUCUCGGACAAACCCUUUUGCUCCUUUCAUGGUCAUCUGGAUGAUGUUCUUGAUCUUGCUUGGUCCAAGUCUCAGGAUUUGCUGUCUGCAUCGAUGGAUAAGACAGUUCGUUUGUGGAGCUUGUCUACACACACUUGCUUGAAAGUAUUCUCUCACAGUGAUUAUGGUUAGUAGCUAAUAUUAAUUUAAUCUGUUUCUUUCUGUGCUUAUCUAAAUAAUAAUUUGCUCUAUUGAUUGGGACAGUGACUUGCAUUCAAUUUAAUCCGGUUGAUGAUAGAUACUUCAUCAGCGGUUCGUUAGAUGCAAAAGUUCGCGUGUGGAGCAUUCCGGAUCGGCAAGUAGUUGACUGGUAUGAUCUUCACGAGAUGGUCACUUCUGCUUGCUACACUCCAGACGGUCAGGUAAACUAAAUCUGCCAUGUCAUUAUUAUCUGAAGUCAGUAUCUUUUUGGCUUUAAACAGUUUUCUAAUUUUCUAAAGAAUGUGUUGAAACUUGAAGGGUGCGUUGGUUGGUUCAUACAAAGGUAGCUGUCGUCUUUACAGUGCAUCAGGUAAAUGAAUGAAGUUUGUUAAUGUGAUUUUGAUUUUUUACCGUUUCCUAAUGCGUUAACAUUAAGUGACGUGUUGUUUUAUUUUUCCCCAGAUAACAAGCUGCAACAGAAAAGCCAGAUAAAUUUACAGAACAAGAAGAAGAAAGCUCAUCAGAAAAAGAUAACUGGUUUCCAGGUAAUGAGAGAAUCUCACUUCUUCAGGAGCAAAAUCUGAGGGGCUUUGUUCAUGAGACGGCACUAAAAGUUGCUUGCUUGUGUCUCAUUUCAUCCCAUAGUUUGUGCCUGGAAGCUCAUCUGAAGUGCUAGUCACAUCUUCGGACUCUCGGAUCCGCGUUGUUGAUGGAACUGAUCUAGUUACCAAACUCAAAGGUAAAACAAAAACAAACAAAGUUUCAAGCUUUGUCUUCUGUUUACUUCAUUCGCAAGCAAAAGUAAUCAAUCGUUUUUUUCACUAUUUGACAGGGUUUCGAAACACGAGCAGCCAAAUCUCCGCCUCAAUAACAGCAGACGGCAAAUACGUAGUGUCAGCGAGCGAGGAUUCAAACGUGUACAUAUGGAAGUACGAAUCCCCUGCUUCUCGACCAAGCAAGAGCAACAGCAGCAGCAACAAGAACGUCACAGUCACAAACUCGUACGAGCAUUUCCACAGCCAAGACGUCUCCGCAGCCAUCUCAUGGCCCGGGAUGGCCUCAACAGAGUCUUGGGGAGCCACCCAAAACAGAGCCAACAACUUAGACGAAGUCUCCACAGCUAACCAUCCACCCACACCUGUGGACCAGCCAGGGACAACAACUCUGGACCGACUCAACAGUCCACGUAACGGGAUCAUUUCGAGCGCCACAAACGGAUACUUCUUCGAUAGAAUGUCAGCGACUUGGCCUGAGGAGAAGCUGAUGUUUGGGAGGAACAGAAGUGGGAACCGUCUGAGUACGGAUUUGUCUAACUCAGGGAACGUGUCGGCUUCUUGGGGGAUGGUGAUAGUCACUGCAGGUUUGAGAGGAGAGAUUAGAGCGUUUCAGAACUUUGGUUUGCCCAUAAGGAUUUGAUAUUAUAAAGAAAAAAAAAAGAUAAAAAAGUGUACAGAGUGGUAAAGAAAAAAAAAAUCGAGUGAGGUUUGUAAUAUUACUUAGCGAGCUUUUUUUUUCUUCAUUCGAUUUUUUUUUAAAACUGAUUUGUUACACACAGGGUAUACUGAUCUUUUGUAGAGUUUACAGACACGAACAGCUGGUUUUUUUUUGUAGUCAGACCUCAGGCCCAUUAAAAAGUUAGGCCCAUAUUGUAUUAACGAAACGUUGUCGUUUUGGUGAUCGUGAAGUGAGUUAAAGGCAGCUUUGUCUUUUAGGUUUUGACUUGUCCUAAAACCCUAGAAAGAGUUUAGCGCUGUUUCUGUUUUAGAGAAAAAAGAAUGGGGAGGAAGAGAAAGCACAGCGAGGCGGAAGCGGCGGCUCCGGUUAAGGACGAUUCUGCUCCGGAGAGACCUAAAAGAACUCUGUUAGGUUGGAAAGAUAAGAAAGAAGAUGUGGAGGAAGCUAAGGAAGCGUCUGCUCCGUCUGCGCCUGGUUUCAGGAAUAAAGAGAAGGUUCUCGUUACUUGUUCCCGUCGGAUUAGUUUCAGGUGAAGCGAGUUGAGAUUUGAGUUUGAGUUUAAUUUCCUUUGAUGGUGUAGAAUAAUAAUAAAGUAUCUGUUUUUUGUUUGUUUGUGAAGGUAUCGGCAUCUGAUGUUGAACAUAGUUUCACUUCUGCCUCAUUGUAAGAAGGAUAGUAAGGUUGAAGCUAAGAGCAGUAAAGGCGCGACUCUUAAUGAGCUUGUUGAGCUUAAGGGCUCUUCUUCCUGCUUGUUCUUCGAGGUAAAGUUUCCAUCUUUUGUUGGUACCUACUUGGUCUGAUAUUAAGAGGCUUUUAUAAUCAAGUUUGAUACAUAGAAGAUGGAACAAAUAUUGUACUGAUGAUAUUCCUUUGUCACGCUACUCUUAAUGUCUGGUUUUGCUUGUAAUUGUAUGAAGUAGUAAGCUGUCAAAAUCUUGAUUUUUCCAAGAAACUGAAGUUGUUAUGCGUUUAUUUUGUUAUGGACUUCAGUGUAGGAAGCAUAAAGAUCUUUACAUGUGGAUGGUCAAGUCCCCUAGUGGACCUUCUGUUAAGUUCUUGGUUAAUGCUGGUAACUUCUCCAACCCACCUUGUACAUUGUUUCAGAAUUAGCUGGUGGAGCUUAUAUGUCUUUGUUCGUCUCUCAUGUUUCAAUAAUUUUCUAUAUGGUGAAGUUCACACAAUGGAGGAGCUGAAACUCACAGGAAACCAUCUGAAAGGGUCACGCCCUCUCUUGACGUUCUCGUCCAAUUUUGAUAAAGAUGUACACUGGAAACUCUUGAAAGAGAUGUUAACACAGGUCAUUCUCCCAUUUUCACUCCCUUAUGUUCCUUGUUAGCUUAGUUUGUACCUCAUGCUAAAUAGUUUUCUCUUCCUAUCUCUUGCAGGUAUUUGGAAUCCCCAAGGAACACAGAAAGUCUAAACCUUACCAUGACCAUGUUUUUGCCUUCUCCAUUGUCGAUGACCAUAUCUGGUUCCGUAAUUACCAGGUUGGUUGCAUCUCAGAGAUCAACAGUUGCUGUUACACUUUGAUUCAGUGUGGUUUUUAACUUAGUCAAUGUCUGUUUUUAUCUUCUGUUUCAGAUAUCUGUACCUCAUAAUGAGGCAGACAAGGUUGCGCGAGGUGGUCUUGAUAAAAUGACUCUUGUCGAGGUCUGGCUUUACCUAUUAGUAACAAUAAUUUGCGUAGUUGUGAUUCGUUAGUGUUGAUUGAAAUGAAAAUCUGAUGACAGGUUGGUCCAAGGUUUUGUUUAAACCCGAUUAAGAUCUUUGGAGGAAGCUUUGGAGGUCCAACCCUUUACGAGAACCCAUUCUACGUAUCUCCAAACCAGGUACUGUGUUCUCUCUUCAGCUUGGUCAUAACGAGAAGUUGAUUCACAUAUGAUUUUCUAUGUCAAAGGCUUAUUUUUUUCAAUUUUUUUCAUCAGAUCCGAGCCUUGGAGAAAAGGAAUAAAGCAGGCAAGUUUGCAAAGAAGAUCAAAGCAAAAAGGAGGAAAAAGAUGCAUGAGAUUUCAAACCCACUGGAGCCUGAUGAGUUUGCAGACAUGUGGAAGGAUGAUGAAUGAUCAAGUUCCAUCAAGUUUUUCUUGUUGUAAACUUCUAAAUUCACACAACCAUUACAUUUUUUUUUGUCCUUUUUACUGUUCUCGACUCUGUUUUUAUCUCUCCCUCUUAUGGAUCAAAAGUUGAUAUUUUUCUUGCAAAUUAGUGUGUUUAAACAAGUAAAGAGUCCAACUAAAUCUCUUUGCAAAAAUUGUAGCAAAAGUAUAAGCAAUCAGCACCCAAAAUUCACAGAAACAAUACAUCUUCAUGUCUUCAGUCUUCACUGUUCCUUUGGUUCUUUCUCUCUUAUGUUAUCAUCAAAAGUUGAAUUUUUGCAAGAUGCCAAAGCAAUUUAGUUUCUUUAUUCAUAAUGCAUCAAGAGUCAAAUUCACAGAAUCAUCAAACACAUUCUUAUGGCUCAAAAGCUUAAAUCUUUUUGUUUGUUUCUUUUAUCUAUUUUUCUUGCAAACUGACAAGUUCAUCUGCACCUCUUUGCAAUGUAAGAUGCAAUUUAGUUUCUUUAUUGAUAUAGCAUCAAAGAUCUCUAAUUACAUAAAACAAAGUAAAAAGAAAAUGCAACAAGACAGCAGAAAGAACAACAACUCAAAAAGAGUUAAAAUAAAAUAAAUUAACGAGAAUUAGCAAGAGCCCAGUUAGCUUCACUUCCUCUCCUAGGAAUCCCAUUAACCUUAGAACAAGCAUCCACUUUGAAAUUAGCUCCACAUAACACCCCUUCACUAUCAAUCCUCGGCAUAGCCUUCAUCUCGUUCCUCGGAUGCUCAAAGCUCUUAAGCCCUGUCUCACUGUGAAACAUACACCCUGCAACAAACACAAAACAUCAAACAAACACUUCAGAUCUAACUCACAAGUCACAAAUGUUGUUUCUUUCAUUUUGUGUCCUUUGCCUUACCAGAAGGGAAAGGAGCAAAAGAUUUAGCACAUCCUUGCUUUAUAAUCUUCACAUCAUCAGACAUCACAACAGAUCCAUCGCCAGAGAUCCCCCAGUAAAGACUCUCUCCUCCGUCAGAGCUCAGAGCCGAGAAAACAGAGGAGGUCUGAG